GCCGAGAUAGCUCAGUU
This 17-nucleotide transfer RNA is filed under the name Asplenium australasicum. Its description in RNAcentral is "partial tRNA-Phe". Lineage: Eukaryota; Viridiplantae; Streptophyta; Polypodiopsida; Polypodiales; Aspleniaceae. The record is from RNAcentral.